UAUAAGGGCAUGUGUCCAAAGGGAAAAAGCACAGGGAAAGAACCUAACAAUUAGAUUCAAGACCUAGCUCUGUAAACUGGGUUACUGGGUCCUUCACUCAUCCUCUCUGUGUUUAGCUUCCUUCUCCGUAACAACAGAGUGGGACCAACUCAUCUGUAAGGUCCCUUCGAGGUUUCAGAACUUCAAGAGGAGGAGAUAACCACCCUGGACAUGCCUGACUCCAGAAUUGGGCUUUCUUCAGCAGAACUGCAUGCUUGGAAGUUGAGUAAGAAUGGAGAAUUCAGGCCGUGUGUGCUGAGAAAUCCCAGAUGAAGUGUGCUAAAAAUGCAGAUUUCUGACCUUGGGCAUGGUGCCAGAAAGAAGUUUUAAUGUCCAAGGGUUUUAUGCUUCAAAGAUAGACCCUUGUGAUUGUUGGUUUAAACCUCCAUACUACACAGGAAGCAAUCUGAUAUCCCACUGACUGGAACACGUAAGUUACGUUGGAUUUUCAAUUUAAAGUACAUUUAAAUGGACAUUUUAAAAGGCAGAAGGAGCAAAUUCACACAACUCCCCCAGCAGCUUGCCCAUGGGAUUCAUCAUGGGGAGAAAGCCUGGCUGAUCCUGGGCUUUCUGAAGAGGUGGGCUGUCCACUUGUCACCCCAUAUGAAGAUGCUCUG
This 656-nucleotide long non-coding RNA is filed under the name Homo sapiens (human). Its description in RNAcentral is "HSALNT0211131". Lineage: Eukaryota; Metazoa; Chordata; Mammalia; Primates; Hominidae. The record is from RNAcentral.